CCUAGGGAGGCAGCAGUGAGGAAUAUUGGUCAAUGGGCUAAGGCCUGAACCAGCCAAGUCGCGUGAGGGAAGAUGGUCCUAUGGAUUGUAAACCUCUUUUGUCGGGGAGCAACGAGGCCACGUGUGGCCGAAGUGAGAGUACCCGAAUAAAAAGCAUCGGCCAACUCCGUGCCAGCAGCCGCGGUAAUACGGAGGAUGCCAGCGUUAUCCGGGUUUAUUGGGUUUAAAGGGUGCGUAGGCGGAACAUUAAGUCAGCGGUAAAAUCGAGGGGCUCAACCCCUUUAAGCCGUUGAAACUGGUGAACUCGAGUGGACGAGAAGUAUGCGGAAUGAGUGGAGUAGCGGUGAAAUGCAUAGAUAUCACGCAGAACUCCGAUAGCGAAGGCAGCAUACCGGCGCCCGACUGACGCUGAGGCACGAGAGCGUGGGGAGCGAACAGGAUUAGAUACCCUUGUAGUC
Molecule: ribosomal RNA, 458 nt
Filed under: uncultured bacterium
Lineage: Bacteria
Description: partial 16S ribosomal RNA
Rfam family: Bacterial small subunit ribosomal RNA
Source: RNAcentral